Molecule: ribosomal RNA, 444 nt
Filed under: uncultured bacterium
Lineage: Bacteria
Description: bacterial SSU rRNA
Rfam family: Bacterial small subunit ribosomal RNA
Source: RNAcentral
ACUCCUACGGGAGGCAGCAGUGGGGAAUAUUGCACAAUGGGGGAAACCCUGAUGCAGCCAUGCCGCGUGUGUGAAGAAGGCCUUCGGGUUGUAAAGCACUUUCAGUAGGGAGGAAGGUAGUGUAGUUAACACCUGCAUUAUUUGACGUUACCUACAGAAGAAGCACCGGCUAACUCCGUGCCAGCAGCCGCGGUAAUACGGAGGGUGCGAGCGUUAAUCGGAAUUACUGGGCGUAAAGCGCAUGCAGGCGGCCUGUUAAGUCAGAUGUGAAAGCCCGGGGCUUAACCUCGGAAUUGCAUUUGAAACUGGCAGGCUAGAGUCUUGUAGAGGGGGUUAGAAUUUCAGGUGUAGCGGUGAAAUGCGUAGAGAUCUGAAGGAAUACCAGUGGCGAAGGCGGCCCCUGGACAAAGACUGACGCUCAGAUGCGAAAGCGUGGGAGCAAAC